Molecule: transfer RNA, 72 nt
Filed under: Coeloseira compressa
Lineage: Eukaryota; Rhodophyta; Florideophyceae; Rhodymeniales; Champiaceae
Description: tRNA-Cys
Rfam family: tRNA
About the family: Transfer RNA (tRNA) molecules are approximately 80 nucleotides in length. Their secondary structure includes four short double-helical elements and three loops (D, anti-codon, and T loops).
Source: RNAcentral
AGCUAGAUGGCAGAUUUGGUAAUGCAAAAGUUUGCAAAUCUUUUUAUGUCGGUUCAAUUCCGAUUCUAGCUU